AACGAACGCUGGCGGCAUGCCUAACACAUGCAAGUCGAACGAGACCUUCGGGUCUAGUGGCGCACGGGUGCGUAACGCGUGGGAAUCUGCCCUUGGGUUCGGAAUAACAGCGAGAAAUUGCUGCUAAUACCGGAUGAUGACGUAAGUCCAAAGAUUUAUCGCCCAAGGAUGAGCCCGCGUAGGAUUAGCUAGUUGGUGAGGUAAAGGCUCACCAAGGCGACGAUCCUUAGCUGGUCUGAGAGGAUGAUCAGCCACACUGGGACUGAGACACGGCCCACGACUCCUACGGAGGGCAGCAGUGGGGAAUAUUGGACAAAUGGGGCGGAAAGCCUGAUCCAGCAAUGCCGCGUGAGUGAUGAAGGCCUUA
This 367-nucleotide ribosomal RNA is filed under the name uncultured bacterium. Its description in RNAcentral is "bacterial SSU rRNA". It matches the Rfam family "Bacterial small subunit ribosomal RNA", at positions 29 to 419 of the family's 1533-position model. The record is from RNAcentral.